Molecule: RNA transcript, 2916 nt
Organism: Phyllostomus hastatus (greater spear-nosed bat)
Lineage: Eukaryota; Metazoa; Chordata; Mammalia; Chiroptera; Phyllostomidae
Gene: CSNK2A2
Gene name: casein kinase 2 alpha 2
Exons: 13
Source: RefSeq, a predicted model, not a curated record
CGCCCCCCGCGGGCCCGGCCUGGCGUGGCCGCCCGCCGUCUCGCUGCUCCUCCUCCUCCGGCGCCCCGCGGCCCGCCGCCUCCUCCGCCCGCCGCCCGGCGCCCCUCGCCGCGCCGCCGCCCUCGGCGCCCCGCGGCGCCCCCCGGUCCCGCCCGCCAUGCCCGGCCCGGCCGCGGGCAGCAGGGCCCGGGUCUACGCCGAGGUGAACAGCCUGAGGAGCCGCGAGUACUGGGACUAUGAGGCUCACGUCCCGAGCUGGGGUAAUCAAGAUGAUUACCAACUGGUCCGAAAACUUGGUCGGGGAAAGUAUAGUGAAGUAUUCGAGGCCAUUAACAUCACCAACAAUGAGAGAGUGGUGGUGAAAAUUCUCAAGCCAGUGAAGAAAAAGAAGAUAAAACGAGAGGUUAAGAUUCUGGAGAACCUUCGCGGUGGAACGAAUAUCAUUAAGCUGAUUGACACUGUGAAGGACCCCGUGUCAAAGACACCAGCUUUGGUAUUCGAAUAUAUCAAUAAUACAGAUUUUAAGCAACUUUACCAGAUCCUGACAGACUUUGAUAUCCGGUUUUAUAUGUAUGAACUACUUAAAGCUCUGGAUUACUGCCACAGCAAGGGCAUCAUGCACAGGGAUGUGAAACCUCACAAUGUCAUGAUCGACCACCAGCAGAAAAAGCUGCGGCUGAUAGACUGGGGCCUCGCCGAGUUCUACCACCCUGCGCAGGAGUACAACGUCCGCGUGGCCUCCCGCUACUUCAAGGGGCCCGAGCUGCUGGUGGACUACCAGAUGUACGACUACAGCUUGGACAUGUGGAGCCUGGGCUGCAUGCUGGCGAGCAUGAUCUUCCGGAAGGAGCCCUUCUUCCACGGCCAGGACAACUACGACCAGCUUGUUCGCAUCGCCAAGGUCCUGGGCACGGACGAGCUGUACGGGUAUCUGAAGAAGUACCACAUAGACCUCGACCCGCACUUCAACGACAUCCUGGGACAACAUUCACGGAAACGCUGGGAAAACUUCAUCCACAGUGAGAACAGACACCUCGUCAGCCCUGAGGCCCUAGACCUUCUGGACAAACUGCUGCGAUACGACCAUCAACAGCGGCUGACCGCCAAAGAGGCCAUGGAGCACCCGUACUUUUACCCCGUGGUGAAGGAGCAGUCCCAGCCCUGCGCAGAUAAUGCUGUACUUUCCAGUGGUCUCACGGCGGCCCGGUGAAGACUGGAAAGCGACGGAAAAGCAGCAUUGGCCGGUUGGUGACCCUUUACAAAUGACUACUCCAGGGUCAAGUGGCCGCCUCUGUGCCCCUGGAUGGCUGAGCUGCGACUCCCCUGCUGCUGCCCUUAGGGGGAAGAGAGAUGCCAUGUUAACUCCUGUUUGCACAAAUAAAAAGGUGCCUCAUCACCAGCCGUCCCGAAAGGGUGACACGCUACGGCCAGGAGGACCUUACACUCGUGUUGCCUGUCCCUUGGGGGAGAGAAGGGAUAAACCUCGAACUGCAAAGGUGUGUGUGGUGGACCCAGUGCAUCGCCUUGGCCGGAAGACAGCAGGAGAGCUGGCGGGCGUUUCUCGGUCCUUGCUUUCCUCCAGACGCCUGCUCGGGACGGACCUGUUCCGCACCACGACUUGAACUACUUGAACGUUCGUGGCGGUGUUCUGCGUUUAGGGAAGUCUGUCCCCACCCUGUUCUCUGCAGCAGGAGUGGGCACGUGCUGUUGGGCAGAUGGUGGUGUCAGAUUAAUGUUCCUCCUCCUCCUCCCCAACUGACCCCUCUCUGGAGUUGGAUGCUUGGAGGUCAGUUUCCAACGUGUUCAAAGGCAAACAGGCAUUUCUGCCUUGCACACCACGCGGCCUCUGGCCCCUCCCUUGCCCUAAGCGAGCGCUCACGGAGUAACGUUGUGUGUGGCGGCCUCCCGGGUGCAUGGCCCGCCCUUCCCCUUGGUUCAUUGCUACCGUCCUGAGACUCCGCUGCCAGAACUCUGCUGUCGGCGUCUCGGCACCCGCUCCACUCUGUCGGGCAGGGAAGGAGGAACAGUUUUCAGGCUGUGCCAGACAGCCGCUCCCAGGAGAGAGAAAAAACACGGGUGGGCAAAAGUAGGCUUCCCGCUGUGAGUGCCCUGCGCCCCGAGACAGUCCCUUGAGUAACAGCUGCUGUAAGAACCGCAACCUGCUUGUCUUUUUCCACGUGGGCAACCCACUUUUGCCCAUUCCUGCGAAUGAACUGGUUCCCUUUUUGCUUUUCAAAAGUGGAUCUGGCCCUUUUCCUGUGUACAAGACAGUCGUCUAGUUAGCCCCACGCUGUCCUUGGUCCACGGGACCAGGUCUGACAGUGCACCGCGGAACGUGGAGCCUGGUGUGCACAGAACGGCCGGCGUCCUGGACCCGAGAGGCGGGGAAGAGGCUUGGUUGCCCACGUGGUGCCCAGAACGUUCCCCCGGCUCUCGCAGAAGGCCCGCGGAGACUGUUAGUGGUGAUCAGAAGAGGAAGUGUGAAAAGGGUCUGUGGCGGUUCCUCUCACUUUUCCAUAAGCAGAACAAGAACCAAUCAAACGUCUGAACGUGUGUAGGGAGAGCACGUUCCGUGAGCAGACACAACACGGUGGCAGGCUUGGCAAGCACGAACUAGACCGGCUGCGGGGCAGCCCACCACCGUGUAUCAAACCUCACUUCCGAGCGUAAAAGGCGCACACGCCUUUGGCUUCCUGUUGACUUCCUCCUGACCCAGACAGCAUGGGAAAUGUGAAGGGUAUGCAGAAUGGCUGUUGGCUACUGUUGCUCCCCCGCGCCCCUUGGCGUCCUGCGGCCACCUGCUUCCCCGCAGACCACAGGCUCCACAGGGGGGACGGGGGCGUAUAUGGCAUGAUGGGCAGUGACAUAUUAUAAUUUUAAAAGUAUAUAUUAUUGAAUAAAAGGUUUUAAAAGAAA